AAUUCUCAACCUCACCAGUUUUGUAACGAGACAGGUGAAGGCUUGGAUGUGGGGGUUUUGCAGGCUGCCUCAGUGCUGGUCUGCUCCCCUGAAAUGCAUUAGCGAGCUCAUAUUGAGCUUCCAUCUUUUGGUGUGAUAAUUAUCUACGCCGUGGACUGGAACUCUGCUUGCUUCUAACCGUCCGCAAGGACAAUUUACUUGACCA
This 205-nucleotide unclassified non-coding RNA is filed under the name uncultured Agaricales. RNAcentral describes it as "sequence contains ITS2". Lineage: Eukaryota; Fungi; Basidiomycota; Agaricomycetes; Agaricales. The record is from RNAcentral. RNAcentral also lists the same sequence under 1 other name.